Molecule: long non-coding RNA, 261 nt
Filed under: Mytilus galloprovincialis (Mediterranean mussel)
Lineage: Eukaryota; Metazoa; Mollusca; Bivalvia; Mytilida; Mytilidae
Source: RNAcentral
AGAAAACUCAACCCGAAUACAUGAUGCCAAGUUCAAUACAGCAUAGACACACCCGAAUCAAUCCAGGCGUCAACGCAAUUAAAAAAUAAAUGACGUCACAUACGAUGGUGAAAAGGCAAACGUUAUGCCACAUUUGAAUUUAUGAAAUUUAGAAACAGCAUGACGUCACACAUGAAAAACUAUAAUUCAAAAGUGAGAUAGAAUUAGGAUUGCUUUGAGAUUCUAUUAGAACUAAAUACUGAUAAUUUAUUAAAACAAAAU